This 370-nucleotide long non-coding RNA is filed under the name Monodelphis domestica (gray short-tailed opossum). RNAcentral's name for it is "lncRNA (ENSMODG00000034592.2)". Lineage: Eukaryota; Metazoa; Chordata; Mammalia; Didelphimorphia; Didelphidae. The record is from RNAcentral.
AGCAUAUCUUCUUCUUCUUCUUCUUCUUCUUCUUCUUCUUCUUCUUCUUCUUCUUCUUCUUCUUCUUCUUCUUCUUCUUCUUCUUCUUCUUCUUCUUCUUCUUCUUCUUCUUCUUCUUCUUCUUCUUCUUCUUCUUCUUCUUCUUCUUCUUCUUCUUCUUCUUCUUCUUCUUCUUCUUCUUCUUCUUCUUCUUCUUCUUCUUCUUCUUCUUCUUCUUCUUCUUCUCUCUCUUUCCCUCUCUCUUCUUCUUCUUCUUCUUCUUCUUCUUCUUCUUCUUCUUCUUCUUCUUCUUCUUCUUCUUCUUCUUCUUCUUCUUCUUCUUCUUCUUCUUCUUCUUCUUCUUCUUCUUCUUCUCUCUGUCUGUCUCUCC